UCCCAGGUUCAAGCGAUUCUCCUGCCUCAGCCUCCUGAGUAGCUGGACUACAGGUGCAUGCCACCACGCCCAGCUAAUUUUUGCAUUUUUAGUAGAGACGAAUUUUAUCGUGUUGGCCAGGCUGGUCUCGAACUUCUGACCUCAAGUGAUCUGCCCACCUCAGCCUCCCAAAGUGCUGGGAUUACAAGUGUGAGCCACUGUGCUCAGCCCAGAGUUCUUCACAUUUCCGAAAAGAAUGUAAAAAUAUCUCUUGCAGUGCUGAAAACAACAUACUCUCCACUCUAAAGGAUCCAGAGCCCCAGUGCAAGUGAUGAUAUAAGGAAGAUGUGUCCAGUGCUUAGAGGAGGACAGCCAACCAGCAAAAACACAACAGUAAAUGCUGUCUUCAUAGCAAAAUGCCAGGACUGUAGAAAGAGGAAACAAUGGACCCAAAGAUGUAGAAGUAGCUAAAUCCCAAACAACCAUUUGUUCAUCAAAAGAUAAAUACUGUCAUCUCUACCUCCAGCACAAAGAAAGCAUUAAUCCAUGGACUGACUCCUCUCAGGAGAAUUUAGCGUCUCAAGUGUGAAGUCUUUUCACUGGAGCUUGAGAUGAAGAAGAAGAGGGAAUUCUAAAGGUUCCCCAUCAUCCACCUACCCUGACCAUCCCCCCUAUUCUGGACCUACCCUUGACUAACAGUCACAUAGUGUAGGGAGUAGAGUACAGAAAGCAGAGGAUGUACUGGUUCAUUUUCCUGAGCCACUUACUAAUCACCUGACAGAAGGCGAGUCAUUUCAGCCAAAAAUAAUAACAGCCGUCAUCUACUGAAUCCCUUAAAAGUGCCCCCACUAGACUGAAAAUUCCUUGAGAUAAGGAUGGACUUACUUAUGCCCUCCCUUAAGUGACUACCAAAGUGCAAAUAGUUGGCACUCAAAAUACAUUCAUUGAAUAUAAAAUUGAGAUAAUUCUUUUUUCCUUUAUUUUUUGCCUGCUUCAUUUUUCCUUUAUAUAAAACUGGGAUCAUUCUGCCUUGCCCAUGCUGUAGGGUUUUUAUGAAGAUUAAAUGAGUGCAUUUCUAUAAAAACUUUUUGAGGUUAUAAAAUAUGCAAAUGUAAGGAAUCUGUCUGUUUUGGGUCUAGGAAAAAAGUAGAAAAAAGAAGAAAUGAAAAAGAUAAAAGAGAGCUGGGAGUGAGGUAGGCAGCUACAUUUGAAAGCAAUCUGAAGCCACUCAGAGGUGGAGGAAAGAGAUUUAAAUUGCUGCAAGAAUUUGAAGGCCACCUCCCACCCAGCCCAUCAGUCUUUCAGGGACUGUUCUUCAAGACUUACUCAAAGACAUUCUGUCCUAUGACCAACUUUAGGGUAACGGGGAAAAGAAUUAUGACAGUCACAUCAUAUGAUGAAAUGCCAAGUAGCAUUUCAAAGGUCACACUUCAGAAAGUCUGUUAAUGAUAUGGAAAGUGAUUAAGCACAAAUUAUGUAAUUUUAAAAAUAAAGCAGUUGAGAUCUUAAUUUUGUAAAUAUAUAUAUAUAAUAAAAACAUAUAGAAGCAAUGAGAAAAGACUGAGCAGAGAUCUAUCAAUAAGUUACCAGAAAUAUAUUAUUAUAAGUCAUUUUAAUUGUCUUUUAAAUAUAUAUGCAUUUUUAUACACUCUUCAAUGAAUAAGUGAAUAAUUGGAAAUAUAACUCUGUGUGUGUGUGUGUAAACAUAUUCUGUUCUUCACUGUUCUAGCCAGGAACUGAUUUAGAUCUGAAUCAAUUAUUCCAAGAACCAAAAUCACCAAGAACUGAAUCACAUCCAAUCACCUUGAACCAAGUCCCAGUUGGAAAAAAUGAGACCCAUAAUUCAGCUUUUUCGUUUUGUCAGCUGUAAGGCUAGAUUAGGCCCUUUCCCCUUCAACCCUGGAGGUUAGAUGCCUGGUUCCAGCAAUGGCUCUUCUUCUAAUAGCUCUGUGCUCUCAGACAUAUCACUGCCCCUCUCUGGGCCUCCCUCCUGUGCUGUAAAAUGAUGGAGCUGCAAUCGGGGCCGCCUGGGCAAUUGUUACGCCACUCAUGACCUUCUCUUGGUUCUUUUCCUCUGUGUUCUGCUUGUUCCGUUUCACUGCCCCUUACAAUUCUUCCCAAGGAAAAGAAGUGAAAUGCAAAUGAGUUUUUUGAGUUUUUGUUGACACCUCUAACUGCAGGUUGGAAAGCUUGGGGGCUUUGGCCCUGGUUGGGUAGGUUCUGCUCGCUGGGGAAUCAGGCCUGAGCUGGCUCUGAUCCCUCUCCCUUCUCCUAAUCACUGCCCUGGCUGCAGAACUCUGGGCUGGCACCAGAAUAGCAGCCAACAUUUGGCUGACACAGGACAUAAUUUUUAAUCAUGGGAAGGCAGACAUAAGUACAAAAGGCCUAUUUUCUUCACGCAGGUUCAAGUAUCUGCUUUUGGGUUAUGUCUGUCUGUAUUUGGCAGGGCUGGUCUUGGGGAAGUUCCGGGAUUCGUGAACAAAAGGUCAGUCUCCUUCCUUUUCCAGGAUGGAAGCGGCACAAAUUGUUCUGAUCAGGGAGCAAUAACAUGCAACGAUCCCCAGGGCUCCCAGGCAGGCGGAGGGGGCACCCAGUCUCAGCAGCCCGCGAUCUGCUUGGCCCCUGCGAGCUGCAUGCCUCACAUUUCCCCAGCUCCAGCCUCCUUUCAAAGGCCCUUUAUUAAACCACCAACUAUUUGCUGUCGAGACAUUUAGGAUGAAAUCAUUGUGUUAAACAAAUAAACGCAGCUUCGUCCAGAUUUCUGCUCUGGGAGCAGAGUAAGAAAAUAAUUUCUGUCUGCUCGCCACAAAAGCGGCUGGAAAGGUCCAAAGAAAAAUAUUAUUUUUACUCCAUUGUGUGAAAUAUUGUCCUGGAGGAUCUGACGGGCUGAGCGUUUGAAGAGUUUGUGCUGGCAGGUUUCAAGGGUCCCCUGGGUCGGCCCCCUGGGAUUGUUUUCUGCAUUAAUAAACUGAGCAUGAUGUGUGUUAAAAGGAACAUUCUGUUUGCUUUGUAAAUAAGGGAUGUCAAACAAGAAGCAGAAGCCUUACAGACACUAGGUGAUGUGUUCUCAGAGCGGGGAGAGGGAGGAGGGUGGGAGAGGCACCCUGGAAAAAUGGGCAUCACUGGGGCUCCCUGAACUGAGCGGAGGCCUUGUUGAGAAAACAAAUCAGUCUGUUUGAGUCCAAACCAGGCCACUUCCUCACUGAUCCUGGUGGGAAAGCUGAACACUUUGCCCUGAACCAGCAGGAUACGGGCUUGGGAAGGAAAGUUCUCAAGUGUCUGUCAGCUGUGUGGUGGAGGAGAGAUGAUGGCGCCUGGCAGAGGCCCUCCCCCUACCCGCACCCCCCUCCCCUCCCUUUUGGAGAAGGUUCUUGGCUUGCCGGGGUCUCCCAGAGCUGGAGGGCAGGAGGGGGCAGAGGUUAAAGCCAUAUCUUUGGGAAUGAUGAUGUGGCUCUCGCCCCCUCUAUCCCUCUCAUACUCCUUCCUCAGAUGUCACUGCAGCCCCAAGCGGGUUCCCCUGUCAAAUUCCUGACCGGUCCUUGGGGACGCUGACAUCGUGGGAGACACAUCACCCUGGCCCUGUGAUCCUUGCCUCUGCGGGAAACCUGCAGGAGCCAGGGCAGGAUGUGUACCGUCUCUGGCUCAAGUAUUUGCUAUUUUCACAGGUGCCUCCCCUGGCCCCGCAGCCCUCUCCGUUGUCCGCUGUCCGCUCCAAUGUUAUUGAAGGCUCCCCAGACCUCCCAGGCAUUCUCAUUUCCACCCGCUGCCCUGCUGCUGUCUUCCCUCUCUCCCUAAAUUCUCCCUUCCCCUCUGUGGUCCUCGGAGGAAUCCCUUGUCAUCCAUUUCUAUUCUGGAAAGUCCUGGCUCUCUCCUUGCCCAAAAGUUCAAACUGUUUCUUGAAGCUUUGGAAGAAGGGGACAACAGGGAAUCCUGAGUUCUGUUUAGUGAGCAUCAUAGACUCUCAGAGCUUCAAGGGUCUAGACACAGAAAUCAGGGGCCUGCCCCCAGGUACCAUUAGAAUCACCUGGAGAGCCUUUACAGGUUCUGUUUUCUGAGCCCACACCUGAGUAGUUCUGCUUCAGUUACCUUGCGGUGAUCCUCAAACCUCAAAACUUUGUAAAGUUUUGGUGACUCCAGCGGUGGCUAAUUUCAAGCACAGCAACCAAGCGCCCAAGCCAAAAC
RNAcentral lists this long non-coding RNA (4161 nucleotides) under Homo sapiens (human). RNAcentral describes it as "HSALNT0089561". Lineage: Eukaryota; Metazoa; Chordata; Mammalia; Primates; Hominidae. The record is from RNAcentral.